Molecule: ribosomal RNA, 497 nt
Filed under: uncultured bacterium
Lineage: Bacteria
Description: partial 16S ribosomal RNA
Rfam family: Bacterial small subunit ribosomal RNA
Source: RNAcentral
GACGAACGCUGGCGGCGUGCCUAAUACAUGCAAGUUGAGCGCUGAAGGUUGGUACUUGUACCAACUGGAUGAGCAGCGAACGGGUGAGUAACGCGUGGGGAAUCUGCCUUUGAGCGGGGGACAACAUUUGGAAACGAAUGCUAAUACCGCAUAAAAACUUUAAACACAAGUUUUAAGUUUGAAAGAUGCAAUUGCAUCACUCAAAGAUGAUCCCGCGUUGUAUUAGCUAGUUGGUGAGGUAAAGGCUAACCAAGGCGAUGAUACAUAGCCGACCUGAGAGGGUGAUCGGCCACAUUGGGACUGAGACACGGCCCAAACUCCUACGGGAGGCAGCAGUAGGGAAUCUUCGGCAAUGGACGAAAGUCUGACCGAGCAACGCCGCGUGAGUGAAGAAGGUUUUCGGAUCGUAAAGCUCUGUUGGUAGAGAAGAACGUUGGUGAGAGUGGAAAGCUCAUCAAGUGACGGUAACUACCCAGAAAGGGACGGCUAACUACGUG